UUUUAGCCCUGAUAGUAAUGGAAAGCCCACAGCAGAAAAAUGUAGUUUUUCUUGCUGGAAAAAAGCGACCAAAGGAAGCUCUUUUUCCAGCUUAGAAAACCACAUUUUUUAGCGAGGACUUGCAAUGUAUAGCAGGAAAUAGC
Molecule: non-coding RNA, 143 nt
Organism: Flavobacterium sp. AED
Lineage: Bacteria; Pseudomonadati; Bacteroidota; Flavobacteriia; Flavobacteriales; Flavobacteriaceae
Source: Rfam